Molecule: RNA transcript, 3306 nt
Organism: Anopheles bellator
Lineage: Eukaryota; Metazoa; Arthropoda; Insecta; Diptera; Culicidae
Gene name: sphingomyelin phosphodiesterase
Exons: 7
Source: RefSeq, a predicted model, not a curated record
CAUUCAGCCACGCGCGCGUUGUCGGACGUUUCGGUCCGAGCCGGCCAACUUGUUUUUCUCUCUUUCUCCUUCCCUCUCUGCCACUCCCGCUCGCUGUGUGUGUCCGCUUUGUUCGCGAGAUCGCGGGCCAAAAGGGCCAGCGCCCCCCGACGGCACGGCACCGUAACCGUUAGUGUUGGUGGAGAAAGGAGAAACGCGGGCCACACGGUCCCCGGGCCCCGUCCGCUAGCCACAGUUUUCGGGCCUCUGCCUGGAUUUGCGUGCCCCCAGGCCCCCCCCCCCCUCGAUCGACCGAUCGGGUAGCGUGCGUGCCGUGUGUACGAGUUAAUCGCCACCGUCUCCGGUCCCGGAGUGGCCCCUGGGAGUGAUGCCGGAGUGAGGGGUGUUGGAUGUGCAAACGGAAAGGAGCAGCAUCUCGAGUCCGAGUAACAUUGUCGCCUUUAAUGAGCCAUCCCGUCGCCGUCACCGUCGUCGUCGAGUCUUUGCCGCUGCGGAAAAGAAGAUGAGUCAGUACUACUUUCCGAUCGUGUUCGUGUUCCUGUUGGAGAUCCUCCGGUUGGCACAGUCCCAUCCCUUCCUGUUCAACUCGGGCGGUGGACAGUACCGGCGGUCGCAGGUGGAAUGGAAAACGCCGGCCGACAACUGGACGGCCGAGGAGGCACCGAGAAGCGUGUAUCCGCUGCUGCAGAACCAGUUCAACCGGCACCAGCUACCCCCGACCGGCGAUCGGUUCGCGGUGCUCGAGGGCGACGAGGAUGAGCAGAGCCUGCGGCGGAUGCACGAGGCGCGCGAGAACGCGUCGUCGGCGCGGACACUGUUCUCGUACAACAAGGAAGAGUCGCACCUGCCGCCGCUGCUGACGAAGACGAUCAAGUACUUCAAUCUGCAGCAGGUCGCGUUCGAGCUGGAGACGAGCGUGAUGUCGCAGGUGUCCUGCACCGCGUGCAAGGCCGGGGCCGGCCUGCUCCAGCACUACAUCCGGACGGGCAAGAGCAAGGAGGAGAUCAUCAAAAUGAUCUACCAGUACUGCGUCAACCUGAAGAUCCAGUCGGCGCGCGUCUGCGAAGGCGUCAGCCAGCUGUUCGGCGUGGAGGUGAUCUACGUGCUGAAGCGCAUCACGAUCGGGCCGGACGAGAUCUGCAGCUUCAUCAUUGGGGACGCGUGCGGCGACAUCUACAACCCGUACCACGAGUGGGAGGUGGAGUUCCCGCCCGUCGCGAAGCCGGAACCGCGCGAGCUCGAGCUGCCCAAGGAGGCGGUGCCCGUGUUCAAGGUACUCCACCUGUCCGACACCCACUUUGACCCCUACUACGCCGAGGGCUCGAACGCGGACUGCAACGAGCCGCUGUGCUGUCGGCUGACGAACGGGCGGCCCACCACCCCGAACGGGGCGGCCGGCAAGUGGGGGGACUACCGGAAGUGUGAUACGCCGCAGCGGACGGUGGAACACCUGCUGAGCCACAUCGCCGAGACGCACGCGGACAUUGACUUCAUCAUCUGGACGGGCGACCUGCCACCGCACGACGUGUGGAACCAGACGAAGGAGGAGAACCUGAAGGUGCUGAAGGAGACGGUGGCACAGAUGACGGACAAGUUCCCGGGGAUUCCGAUCUUCCCGGCCCUCGGCAACCACGAGAGCGCCCCGGUGAACAGCUUCCCGCCGCCGUACGUCCAGCAGGUGGACAGCUCGAUCGCCUGGCUGUACGACGAGCUGGACGUGCAGUGGCGCCGGUGGCUGCCGGCCAGUGUGUCGCACACGGUGCGCCGCGGCGCGUUCUACUCCGUGCUGGUGCGGCCCGGGUAUCGGAUCAUCUCGCUCAACAUGAACUACUGCAACAACAAGAACUGGUGGCUGCUGCUCAACUCGACCGAUCCCGCCACCGAGCUGCAGUGGUUCAUCUACGAGCUGCAGAGCGCCGAGUUCGCCAACGAGAAGGUGCACGUGAUCGGGCACAUCCCGCCCGGCCACUCGGACUGUCUGAAGGUGUGGAGCCGGAACUACUACAAAAUCAUCUCGCGCUACGAGAGCACCAUCACGGCCCAGUUCUUCGGCCACACGCACUUCGACGAGUUCGAGGUGUUCUACGAUCCGCACGAUCUCGGGCGGGCCACGAGCAUCGCGUACAUCGGCCCGUCGGUCACACCGUACAACGAUCUGAACCCGGGCUACCGGAUCUACUACAUCGACGGUGAUCACGACGAAACGACGCGGCUGGUUGUGGACCACGAGUCCUGGAUCAUGAACCUGAAGGAAGCGAACCUGUACGACUAUCCGAUCUGGUACAAGCUGUACUCGACCCGUGCCGCCUACGGGAUGAAGGGCUUGCGGCCCGCCGACUGGAACACGCUGAUCAACAACAUGACGGACAGCAAGGAGAUGUUCGAUCUGUACUACAAACACUAUUGGAAAAACUCGCCGGUCAAACCGGAGUGCGACUACGAGUGCCGGAAGCGCAUCCUGUGCGACGCCAAAAGUGGCCGAUCGCACGACCGCAAGUACUUCUGCGAGGACGUCGAGGCCAAGAUCGACGAGAGCAACAAGGGCUGGAAGGAUUGGCUGCUGAGUUCGAUCAGCUCUUCCAGCCGCGCGCGGGGUCCGGAUCGGGCAUCAACGGCGCACGACGCACGGCGGCUGAUCGAGGAAGCUUACGAGCGCAACAGGGCGCUGCCCAGUGUGGAGCGUGCCCCGCUCGCUGACCGCCAUUAAGCCCCGGUUUGAUGGCGCUGUGCUAACCCACUCAAAGGUUCUGGAGGACUAAUCGCUAAUCAGUGUUGGGCGUGGGUCACGCGUAUGUAUAUAAUCAAUGUCUUCCCGUUGGUGGAAUCAAUAAAAAGUGCAAUCAUUAAUCCGCUUCCGAUGAGGAAGGGGCCACAAGAGGGCAUUUCCUACGCCAUCCACGGGAUAACGAGCAUAUUUUGGCGCAAGCGAUGACGCGGCCUCUGAGCGAUCAGGUGCAACCGGUGCGGCCCCUCCUGAGCCUCACAAACCUGCCCAUCCCCCCCUCCGGAACAACGGCAUCCGAGUACCGCCAGUGUGUCUGUCCGUAACCAUUUUUCUGUAGAAGCGUUUUGUAGCGCGCACUUGGAACGCGCCGCUGAACCCCUCUCUCGGAUGGGGUCGAGUCCUCCAGCAGGUGAUGUUGUGAUAAACGAAACGAUAGAAUGGCACACGUGUCGAACCAUUUGCACGAGACGUUAGGAUCUUCGAGGAAUCGAUACAGGGCGUAUAUUUUAAACGGUAAUUCAAACCAGCGUCCCGCGGGGCGCUAAAAGGGCGCCUAGUCUGUAAAUAGAAGCGAGUCGAGU